GAUGAAGAACGUAGCGAAAUGCGAUACUUGGUGUGAAUUGCAGAAUCCCGUGAACCAUCGAGUCUUUGAACGCAAGUUGCGCCCGAAGCCACUAGGCCGAGGGCACGCCUGCCUGGGCGUCACACGCCGUUGCCCCCCCAUCUACUCCUUCGGGAUUGCGGGGGGGCGGAUGAUGGCCUCCCGUGCGCCUAGCCGCGCGGUUGGCAUAAAUACCAAGUCCUCGGCGACGCACGCCACGACAAUCGGUGGUUGCGAAACCUCGGUUGCCCGUCGUGUGCGUUUGUCGCGCAUCGAGGGCUCGAAAAAAUGCUCGGCUCCGGCUGGGCUUUCAACGCGACCCCAGGUCAGGCGGGGUUACCCGCUGAAUUUAAGCAUAUCAAUAAGCGGAGGA
RNAcentral lists this unclassified non-coding RNA (391 nucleotides) under soil metagenome. Its description in RNAcentral is "partial contains 5.8S ribosomal RNA, internal transcribed spacer 2, and large subunit ribosomal RNA". The stretch from base 1 to 122 matches the Rfam family "5.8S ribosomal RNA", at positions 35 to 154 of the family's 154-position model. The record is from RNAcentral.